AGUGAACGCUGGCGGUAGGCCUAACACAUGCAAGUCGAACGGCAGCACAGUAAGAGCUUGCUCUUACGGGUGGCGAGUGGCGGACGGGUGAGGAAUACAUCGGAAUCUACUUUUUCGUGGGGGAUAACGUAGGGAAACUUACGCUAAUACCGCAUACGACCUACGGGUGAAAGCAGGGGAUCUUCGGACCUUGCGCGAUUGAAUGAGCCGAUGUCGGAUUAGCUAGUUGGUGGGGUAAAGGCCCACCAAGGCGACGAUCCGUAGCUGGUCUGAGAGGAUGAUCAGCCACACUGGAACUGAGACACGGUCCAGACUCCUACGGGAGGCAGCAGUGGGGAAUAUUGGACAAUGGGCGCAAGCCUGAUCCAGCCAUACCGCGUGGGUGAAGAAGGCCUUCGGGUUGUAAAGCCCUCUUGUUGGGAAAGAAAAGCAGCAGGUUAAUACCCCGCUGUUCUGACGGUACCCAAAGAAUAAGCACCGGCUAACUUCGUG
RNAcentral lists this ribosomal RNA (492 nucleotides) under uncultured bacterium. RNAcentral's name for it is "partial 16S ribosomal RNA". It matches the Rfam family "Bacterial small subunit ribosomal RNA", at positions 29 to 507 of the family's 1533-position model. The record is from RNAcentral.